CAUUUUUCAGGACAUUUCGAUAAAAUUGGUAAAGAGAAAAUUAGCAUAACCUCUGCACAAGGAUGACAUAUUUAAAUUGAUAAAAUAGUCCAAUUUUU
Molecule: small nuclear RNA, 98 nt
Organism: Elaeis guineensis (African oil palm)
Lineage: Eukaryota; Viridiplantae; Streptophyta; Magnoliopsida; Arecales; Arecaceae
Source: RefSeq, a predicted model, not a curated record